GUUCCUGCAGGGGUGCUGGGCCCCUGCGGCUCCCACCAUAUUGCGCUGGACUCUUGUGGCCCGUGCUGACCUGGUGUUCCAGAUGCUGUCUCUGCAGAGCUCUGCGUGGUCUCUGGUGUUAGAGAGGUGGCCACCCACCGCCCUAUCAUUGUCCUCGUCCCCACUGUGAGGAGAAGCUAUCAGAUCUGCCUGUGGCCCCCAGGUGGCUCAGGAAGGGCCGUCCUGACCCCCAUCCUGGCCCCUUUCGGAGCUGCAGAGAUUUCCUGUGCCUCCAGCUCUGGCUUCCUGGGUCUGUCCGUGCAUGGAGCGGGCACAGGCUUCCCGUAGACACGGUUGCCCAGAGUGGGGUUCAUAACUGGGCACUGUAAAGGGUGUGGUCUCCACGGCUUAGGAUGGGCCCCCCCUCCUGGUGGCCUGCUGUGCCCGGGGCUGGUGUGGAGGCGUGUGGGUGCAGAGGCCGCCCAGCCCUGGGCUUCCUCUGGGGUUACAUGUGUACCCUUGCACCCACCUGUUAGCACCCACCGGGAGAGUCUCACUCAGCCUAAACCAGGGCCCCUCAGGAGGAAAAGGUCCCCAGCUUCAUGAUGGGGCCCGGUGUGCCUUCCAUCCCCGCCCUGACUCAGUGCCCACUGUGCGAGGUGUGAGCACUGUACACAGCAGCCAGGGCGGCUGGUGGGGAGUGCAGUGGAGGGGGUUGAGGCCUCUUGGGCACCUGGUGAGUUCUCAAGGGUGAGAGGAAGCCGAGGCCAUCAGGCUUAGCUGACGCUGCAUGGGGCAGGCUGCCAAGAGGGAGGCUGAAUGGAGCAGCCUCAGGUGAGCCGACAACCCUCACCUCCGCCUGGUCAGCCAGGACCCGGCUCCCCUCCAGUCCCGCCUGCUUUCCCCAAAGCAGAUCCGGCCAGUCUCAAUGGCUCGUCCGGGGGGUGCUGGUUAGGCUGUGAGCAUCCUUCCUGGGUGCAGGCCCCCGACAGCCAGCAGUGCUGUGCUGUGUGUGUGUUGGGGACUCUGCUGAGCCCUUUGUGGCCAGACUGGGGAGGCUCCUCCGGGCUGGCUCUGUCCCCUGUACCUUGUGAGGGAGGGGCUGACCCCCGACUGGGUUACAUCGUGGUGAGCGGUUCAGAAACAAGCUGUGGAAUGAAGUGGACGUGGCGUUUUAAACACAUGAGCCCGUCUGUUCUUAGGGCUUUUGUUUGUUGUCCCAGUCCGUGACUCCAAGACUGGGACCCCCAGAGUUCCCAGGAUGGUCUGGAGCCUUUAUCCUCAGGUCAGCAUUGUGGAGUUAAAGGGAGGGGACCACGGCCCCUCAUUCUCAGCAGAGCCAUGGUGACCUUGAUGGCGGAGGCUCAGGGGGACCUGGACCGUGGACACCACACAGCUGCCCUCCUCCCUCCCGAGGCCAUUUCAGGGCUGGAAUCCCUGCCCUCCUCUCCUUUCCUCCCGGGCUGGUUGUUGCCUUGAGAGUCCGUGCGCUCAUCUCCCCACUUUUACCCCAGGGGGAGGCCCCUCACCUUCCCACCAUAUCCCUUGUACUUCCUCCCACCCUGGACUUGGGGGAGCUGGGGGGAGGGGGCCCUUCCUUCAGCAGCAAACCCUCCUGGUGUAGGGCUGUGGGCCAUCCCACCGCAGCCUGUCCAGGAGCUGCUGAGCCCGUCAGCCCCAACUAGCACCUCCUGUCCAGGCCCGGCCCAGCCCUGCCUCCAGAGCCUACAGAGGGGCCUCGCCCAGGUCCUGCUGCUCCAGAGCUUGUGGGUGCCCACGCUGCAGGCUGUUUGGGGUGGUGGAGCAGAGCACCCGCUGGAGCUGGGGGCUGAGUGGCCGUGGGGGGACCAUGCUCCUCCUGUGGCCCAAGGCCCAGGGGUUCCACCUCGUAAUUUUUGUUUGUUUUUAAACAAGGAAAAUGCAAAAAGCGAGGCGACGGCUUAAAGAUGGAGAACGACCCCCAGGAGGCGGAGUCUGAAAUGGCCCUGGAUGCUGAGUUCCUGGACGUGUACAAGAACUGCAACGGGGUGGUCAUGAUGUUCGACAUUACCAAGCAGUGGACCUUCAAUUACAUUCUCCGGGAGCUUCCGAAAGUGCCCACCCACGUGCCAGUGUGCGUGCUGGGGAACUACCGGGACAUGGGCGAGCACCGAGUCAUCCUGCCGGACGACGUGCGUGACUUCAUCGACAACCUGGACAGGUGGGUGCAGUGGCCCUGCUCCCGAGGGACCCUGCGCGGUGCUCCGGUGUGCGGGGGAGGGUGCUGAGGCAGAGGCCCAGGGAGGGGUUAACGUUAGCAUGGGGCCCGGCGGAUGUGGGUCUCGCCGCUGAGUGGGGCUCACUGAAGCCUGGGUCUCCCCGAUGGCAGGGCCGGGAACUGUGUGCUGGGGAACUGUGUGCCCAGGACUGUGUGCCAGGGUGAAGUGCUGGCACUGUGGGGUCACCUGCAGAAGGGCACUCGGCUUAGCUGCUUAGCAGGGCUCAGCAGGGUCCUGUGGCCUCAGAAGCCUGCAGGAGGAGGGAGGGCAGUGCGGACCCACAGCUGUGGGCCCAGGGGUGAUCCUUGGCACCAGGGCAAGGGUCUUUCUCUUGCAUCUUUCUUCCUUUCUGAAAGCAGACCUCCAGGCUCCUCCUACUUCCGCUAUGCUGAGUCUUCCAUGAAGAACAGCUUCGGCCUAAAGUACCUUCAUAAGUUCUUCAAUAUCCCAUUUUUGCAGCUUCAGAGGGAGACGCUGUUGCGGCAGCUGGAGACGAACCAGCUGGACAUGGACGCCACGCUGGAGGAGCUGUCGGUGCAGCAGGAGACGGAGGACCAGAACUACGGCAUGUACGUGGCCGGACCCGCCCGUGCGGGCGGUGUGGGGGCUGCGGGCGUGGCCGUGGUGCAGGGCCAUGGGCUGCACCAAGGAGACAGCAGAGGGGAGUGUCCCCUGUUUGGGGUAAAUUCGUCAUCUUGGGGCACGGGUGGAGGAGGACUCAGGUUUGCACUGCCCCCAGCAGCCCCCUCACAGUCACCCCUGGCAUGGACUCCUCAUACAGGUCAUGCUGUGCCUGCCACUCUGAGCACCGCUGACCGUGGCCAGGUGCUGGUGCUCGUGGAGUGCAUCAGGGGCUUGGCCUCCCAGAUUGAUGCCAGCAUGGGGUGUGCUUUCUGGGGAGCUGCUUGACUUUGGGAAGCUCCCUGUGUUGAAGAGGCAUACAGGCCAGGACAUGGAGGUCUCUGGUCCUCGACAGCAGAGGGCGGCUCAGAGCAUCCUCCUGAGUGGGCGUGGGCAGUGCAUAGCUCCGGGGUUGCGGCCAGUGGGACAGCUGGCCCGUUCUCUGCCUCAGGCUCCUGCACAGCUAGGGGCUUGGUGCCUCCCCUGGGACCCAGGCAGGGACCACGGAAUCAGUGGCCCUCCUGAGGCCCCCCAGGAGGUCUCUGUUUCCAGGAGAGCCCUGUGGGUAACCUUGGAUCUGGCUGUUGGCUCAGACACACCAAGAGACUGAGAGGGAAGGCAGUUUGAUGCCUGGAGAGGGACCCGUGGCUUCCAGCUGCCAGGCCAGCCCCAGAUUGGAGCCCCCCGCAUGGGCGCUUCUCUGUUGAACCAAUCCUGGCAUUUCCUGGGCCUGAGAGUUGGGUCAGCUGGAUGCUGCGAUGGCCACACGUGCUCCACCAAGCCCCAGCCCCCUCCUCUUCCCAGAAACCCCCGCUCACGGGAAGGUCCAGUUGCUGCCAUCUGGCCACCUCUGCAUGGAGCCCCCAACAGCUGUGCCUCAGAACAGAUCUGAAGUGACUUUCAGGGGAGCUGGACACAUGCACGCUGGUGCCUGCUGUCCCCACCCUUCGGCACUGCUGCUCUUUUUCUGAGAUGGAGUCUCACUCUGUCGCCCAGGCUGGAGCGCAGUGGUGUGAUCUCGGCUCACCGCAAGCUCCGCCUCCCGGGUUCACGCCAUUCUCCUGCCUCAGCCUCCC
This 3934-nucleotide small RNA is filed under the name Pan troglodytes (chimpanzee). RNAcentral describes it as "retained intron". Lineage: Eukaryota; Metazoa; Chordata; Mammalia; Primates; Hominidae. The record is from RNAcentral.